AUUUUUGCAGAGAUUUUCCCUGGUCAAGAGUGCAACAUGAGUCUUGGAUAUGAACUUUACUGUCAGAUGUACAUUGAUUGAAAAGUGAACAAGAUAUCUGCACUGAGAAUGAAUGAAGUUGAAGAAAGUUGAAAGGCACCCCAGAAGAACCUGAAUUAUUUUAGCCCUAUCCUAGAUUCAUUU
Long non-coding RNA from Dendronephthya gigantea, 183 nucleotides. RefSeq lists it as uncharacterized. NCBI's taxonomy places the organism in Eukaryota, Metazoa, Cnidaria, Anthozoa, Malacalcyonacea, Nephtheidae. The transcript has 3 exons. The record is from RefSeq and is a predicted model, not a curated record.